CCCUACGGGGGGCAGCAGUGGGGAAUAUUGCACAAUGGGGGAAACCCUGAUGCAGCGACGCCGCGUGAGUGAAGAAGUAUCUCGGUAUGUAAAGCUCUAUCAGCAGGAAAGAUAAUGACGGUACCUGACUAAGAAGCCCCGGCUAACUACGUGCCAGCAGCCGCGGUAAUACGUAGGGGGCAAGCGUUAUCCGGAUUUACUGGGUGUAAAGGGAGCGUAGACGGCAGCGCAAGUCUGGAGUGAAAUGCCGGGGCCCAACCCCGGAACUGCUUUGGAAACUGGCGGGCCAGAGAGCAGGAGAGGGG
This 305-nucleotide ribosomal RNA is filed under the name uncultured bacterium. RNAcentral describes it as "bacterial SSU rRNA". It matches the Rfam family "Bacterial small subunit ribosomal RNA", at positions 337 to 659 of the family's 1533-position model. The record is from RNAcentral.